Pyrus x bretschneideri (Chinese white pear) is the source of this 3039-nucleotide RNA transcript. It is a transcript of the gene named abscisic acid 8'-hydroxylase 4, with no coding region annotated. NCBI's taxonomy places the organism in Eukaryota, Viridiplantae, Streptophyta, Magnoliopsida, Rosales, Rosaceae. The record is from RefSeq and is a predicted model, not a curated record. The transcript is spliced from 11 exons.
CAGGUCGGGCAAUCAGACAUUGGCCCUGGCAGGCUAGCCACUGUCCACUGAAAUCGGGUGGCAGAGAAUAGUCGAAUAACUCACAAAUUGUCACUACCUGCCUACAACUCCGAUAUAAAUAAGCAUAGCCAUAUUCAUUGGACACAAUGUCCUUAAUCAUUUACUGCCUUUAGCUAUAUCGAUCAAAGAGAGCAACAUGUAUAUUGUUUUUCCUCUUUACAAUUUUCUUCUUAUUGCUCUUUUUCCAUUCAUCUUAUUACUUGCAAAACAAGUGAGAUCACGGAAACCUAGAGCCAAUCUACCUCCAGGUUCAAUGGGUUGGCCCUAUGUAGGUGAAACCAUGCAACUAUACUCUCAAAACCCUAAUGUCUUUUUUUCCUCUAGGAACAACACGUAUGGAGAAGUUUUCAAGACUCACAUACUUGGCAGUCCUUGUGUGAUGCUGUCUAGCCCAGAGGCUGUGCGGUUUGUGCUGGUGACUCAGGCACACUUGUUUAAACCCACAUACCCUCAAAGUAAAGAAAGAUUAAUUGGUCCCUCAGCACUUUUCUUCCACCAAGAUGACUACCAUGCACAGAUUAGAAGAUUAGUCCAAGGAUCUUUGUCCUUGGAUGUUAUCAGAAGCUCGGUGCCAGAUAUUGAAGUCAUUGCCAUUUCUACCUUAGACUCGUGGUCUGGAAAAGUUGUUAACACCUUUUAUGAGUUAAAGAAGUUCACCUUCGAUGUUGCUGUCUUGUUUAUCUUUGGUCACUUGAACAAUCACUACAAAGAGAUGCUCAAGAAAAACUACUACACUCUAGACAAAGGCUACAAUUCUUUCCCUACAAAACUCCCAGGCACCUUGUACAAUAAAUCGGUUUUGGCAAGGAGGAGACUGAGCUUAAUUCUCGGUGAGAUAAUAAAAGAGAGAAAAGAAAAGAGUUUGGUGCGUAAAGAUCUAUUGGGCAGACUAUUGGACUUCAAAGAUGAGAAGGGAGAAACACUAACACAUGAUCAAAUCGUUGACAACAUCAUUGGAGUAACGUUUGCUGCUCAGGACACCACAGCCAGUCUCUUAACUUGGAUGAUCAAAUACAUUCACGAUGACUCAAAGCUUCGAGAAGCUAUCCAGAUAGAACAGAAGACAAUUUUUGAAUCAAAUGAAGGAGGAAAUCAUUCGCUGAGUUGGUCACAGACUAGAAAUAUGCCCCUUACCAGCAGGUGGAAUUUUUUGGGUGUUAUCACAACAACGCUACAUAGUGGUUGUGAUCUAUGCACUAGCGGAGCUACACCCACGACUAAGGCUAUAAAGGAGAGCUUGAGGAUGGCAAGCAUCGUAUCCUUCACCUUUAGGGAAGCUGUCGAAGAUGUUGAAUACAAAGGAUACAUGAUCCCAAAGGGAUGGAAGGUACUGCCUUUGUUCCGGAACAUCCAUCAUAAUCCUGAAUUUUUUGUUGAUCCGCAUAAAUUCAAUCCAUCAAGAUUUGAGCUCGGAGUAAAACCCAACACAUUCAUGCCAUUUGGAAAUGGACUUCAUAUAUGUCCAGGAAAUGAAGUUGCCAAGCUGGAGAUGCUUAUUUUCAUCCACCAUCUUGUUAACAAAUUUAGAUGGGAAGUGGUGAGGUCGAGUGGUGGGGUUCAUUACGACCCAUUUCCAAUACCUCAGCAAGGACUUCCAGCCAAGUUUUGGAAAGAUUCAAGCCUGUUAAGGACCACAAGGCCAGGCUAGCAGGGAGGAAUGAAAAACUGAUGGAGUAUAUGUAUACAUGCAUGUAGUAGUGAUAACUGAUCAUCUUGUUACCUCAGUGAAUAUAUAUAUAGGUAACAAGUAUAUAUAUAUAUAUAUAUAGCCAUUGAUUUUUCUUUUCUGUUCUCUGUAGUGUCUACCACUUCACAGAGAGAGUCCAACAAAAAUACAUAAAUAUGAUGGUGGGCACGAAUUAAUCUAUGUCUGGCUCGGGUAAGCUAUAAACUAACCAAAAAUUAGGGAGAAAUAUAACCACUCAUAUAUAGGCUUAAGCCUAAACCGUACAAAAAGAAAAACAAAAGACUAUUAACUACAUUGUAAAAUAUGAAGAAUUGGUACAGAGGAGGAGGAAGAUGAUAGAAAGAAACAAAAGAAAUUCUAGAGAGAGAGAGAGUUUAAAGAGAGAAAUAGGAUUUGUAUUAACUAAGUAAAUGAAUAUUACACACACUGCUUUUAUAAGAGAAAUCCUAACUACUUUUAACCAAAUACUAACAAUCUUACUAACUAUAUUCCUAACUGUAUUACACUUGUACCCUUAAUACUCCCCCUCAAUCUCAACUGGGGAAACCCAGUUUGAGAUUGGAAGAACAUUUGCAAUCAUUGCUAUUAAAUCAUAAAACAGAACACAUAUUUGAACCAUCUGUAAUCUUGCAAUCCCACUUCAUCCAAUUUGAGACAUCUGCUUGAUCUUCAUAGCUGCAAUAAUGGAACCCUUAAAGGAUUUGGGCAUCUCUGUAGCACUUUGACUGAGCACCACCUAGAGCUCCUACCAUGGCAAUAGCUGCAGUAAUAGUUAUAUGGAGACCAAUUGGCUGAUGUUGAAGAGAUUUUGCAUGAACAGAUGGCCCUCCCUUGCUUUUGAAGGUCAACAUUAGCAAUCAGUCCUGGUCCACCACGACCCUGAUCUCGACUUCUAUCAGUGCCUUUGUCAUUUUCAGCAAAAUCCGCUUGUAAUUGUCGGCCAUUGAUCUCAUAACCCUAAAGAUUAUGACAAGCACUUAGAGUAGUCUCUCUAUCAAUAACUAGUCUGAAAGAUACAACAGGACCAACCUCCUGGCAUAUUUCUACAAGCUGUUCCUCAUUCUCAUCCUUAGUUUCUUCACACAACCAUACACCACAGAGUAAGCGCAUAUAGUCAAACCAUAUCACCAAAGCUUCUAGUUUUCCCAAAGCCUUGAAUCAAACAAGUGUACCCCAUGACCUCUUUGUAGCUGUUAACCAAAAAACUUUUGUUUGUUAGUCCAAAUUUCUUCCACUGCCUUACAAAUAAAGACAUCCUGUAUUCCUCUACCUCUAUCAGGAGUUUUACACAA